GCACAGAGGAAGGGCAUUGAUUAAUAUCGAUUGACGUUUUAUCUCUCAAUUUGUAGAAGCUCUAUGUACGUCGGUGAAGGGGUGCUGGUUAGGAUCUAUAGUACAGCUAGGUUGAUCCUUGCAACAAAUAGGAGUUCCAUAUUUGGUAAGCAACUAUGUUUCUAAAUGAGCAUAAGUUCUGUUCUCACUAUUGCAAAUUGAAGCACCAUAUUUGUUGAG
RNAcentral lists this unclassified non-coding RNA (219 nucleotides) under Hevea brasiliensis (rubber tree). Lineage: Eukaryota; Viridiplantae; Streptophyta; Magnoliopsida; Malpighiales; Euphorbiaceae. The record is from RNAcentral.